RNAcentral lists this ribosomal RNA (452 nucleotides) under uncultured bacterium. RNAcentral's name for it is "bacterial SSU rRNA". It matches the Rfam family "Bacterial small subunit ribosomal RNA", at positions 28 to 506 of the family's 1533-position model. The record is from RNAcentral.
GACUAACGCUGGCGGCGUGCCUAACACAUGCAAGUCGAACGAAGCAGCAAUGCUUAGUGGCAGACGGGUGAGUAACGCGUAGAUAAUGUGCCCUCUUGCGGGGGGAUACCGUUUCGAAAGGAACGUUAAUACCGCAUAAAGUCCUUAGGAGGCAUCUCUUAGGGAUCAAACUUCCGGGGCGGGAGGAGCAAUCUGCGUACUAUCAGCUAGUUGGUGAGGUAAUGGCUCACCAAGGCUACGACGGUUAACUGGUCUGAGAGGAUGAUCAGUCACGCUGGAACUGAGACACGGUCCAGACUCCUACGGGAGGCAGCAGUGAGGAAUAUUGCACAAUGGGGCGAAAGCCUGAUGCAGCGACGCCGCGUGGAGGAUGAAGGAUUUCGGUCUGUAAACUCCUGUCAGUAGGGAAGAGAAUGGACGGUACCUACUGAGGAAGCUUCGGCUAACUACGU